Molecule: ribosomal RNA, 492 nt
Filed under: uncultured bacterium
Lineage: Bacteria
Description: partial 16S ribosomal RNA
Rfam family: Bacterial small subunit ribosomal RNA
Source: RNAcentral
AGUGAACGCUGGCGGUAGGCCUAACACAUGCAAGUCGAACGGCAGCACAGUAAGAGCUUGCUCUUACGGGUGGCGAGUGGCGGACGGGUGAGGAAUACAUCGGAAUCUACUUUUUCGUGGGGGAUAACGUAGGGAAACUUACGCUAAUACCGCAUACGACCUACGGGUGAAAGCAGGGGAUCUUCGGGCCUUGCGCGAUUGAAUGAGCCGAUGUCGGAUUAGCUAGUUGGCGGGGUAAAGGCCCACCAAGGCGACGAUCCGUAGCUGGGCUGAGGGGAUGAUCAGCCACACCGGAACUUGAACACGGUCCAGACUCCUUAGGGAGGCAGCAGUGGGGAAUAUUGGACAAUGGGCGCAAGCCUGAUCCAGCCAUACCGCGUGGGUGAAGAAGGCCUUCGGGUUGUAAAGCCCUUUUGUUGGGAAAGAAAAGCAGCAGGUUAAUACCCCGCUGUUCUGACGGUACCCAAAGAAUAAGCACCGGCUAACUUCGUG